This 465-nucleotide ribosomal RNA is filed under the name Vreelandella stevensii. RNAcentral describes it as "partial 16S ribosomal RNA". It matches the Rfam family "Bacterial small subunit ribosomal RNA", at positions 338 to 795 of the family's 1533-position model. Lineage: Bacteria; Pseudomonadati; Pseudomonadota; Gammaproteobacteria; Oceanospirillales; Halomonadaceae. The record is from RNAcentral.
CCUACGGGUGGCAGCAGUGGGGAAUAUUGGACAAUGGGCGAAAGCCUGAUCCAGCCAUGCCGCGUGUGUGAAGAAGGCCUUCGGGUUGUAAAGCACUUUCAGUGGGGAAGAAAGCCUUGGGGCUAAUACCCUCGAGGAAGGACAUCACCCACAGAAGAAGCGCCGGCUAACUCCGUGCCAGCAGCCGCGGUAAUACGGAGGGUGCGAGCGUUAAUCGGAAUUACUGGGUGUAAAGCGCGCGUAGGCGGUCUGAUAAGCCGGUUGUGAAAGCCCCGGGCUCAACCUGGGAACGGCAUCCGGAACUGUCAGGCUAGAGUGCAGGAGAGGAAGGUAGAAUUCCCGGUGUAGCGGUGAAAUGCGUAGAGAUCGGGAGGAAUACCAGUGGCGAAGGCGGCCUUCUGGACUGACACUGACGCUGAGGUGCGAAAGCGUGGGUAGCAAACAGGAUUAGAUACCCCAGUAGUC